Non-coding RNA from Nicotiana tabacum (common tobacco), 5275 nucleotides. The record is from RefSeq and is a predicted model, not a curated record. Lineage: Eukaryota; Viridiplantae; Streptophyta; Magnoliopsida; Solanales; Solanaceae.
AUUUUUAAGCCCAGCAAGACCUAACCCAAUACCCUUUCUUCUUUAAACCCUUACACCCCACCCCUAGGGUCUGCUUCUAGAACCUUAGACUAGAACACAAAAAAAAAACUAGCUGAACUUUAAGAACCCCAGGGGCGCCCAUCGUCUUCUUCGAGAGGCUAGCUGAACCAUAGUAAGAGAGACCCAAAAAGACUCCAAGCCAUCAGAAGCCUGAACACGACCAAACUCGCCAGAAAAGAGAUCAGCUCCCAUAUCCUCCUCUCAUCAAGCAAACGACCACCCAUCGCCGCCACUCCGUCAACCAGCCUCCCGCGCAGCAGCAAGUCCGGCGACAAACCAACAGCUUUCCACCUCUGGCCCUUCCAAAAACCAACGAAGAACAACCAGGUAAACAUCGACCAACUAACCCACCAGCAACCCUGCCACCGCCGUUCCUCUGCUGUCAACCAGCAGCAUCCGCAAGCUGCGAAAGAAAAACAAAAAAACUCAAGAGAGUUUGCUGUUAGUGUUCAUUCUUGAAUUCAUAGAAAAACAAGUUUCGUCAUGAUCUAGAAAGAAAAUAAUGUAUAUCAUCCUUUUAAGAAUUACAAAUAGCUUAAGUCUCCUAACAUCUGAUAACAAAGUGAGAACGAGAGGAUGGGUUUGGACUAGAGUGUCCCAGUUAUCCUUAGACUCACGAAGGCAUUCUCGGUUUCGAGCUUGGGGGGCGUCCGUACGAGGUUUCCGGUCCAGGUUCGUAGGCUUGAAGCAACUACUGAUGUGCACUUGAUUUGGAGUUUUACUAUUCAAUAUAAAAGAGGGACUCAUCUAAGGUUCAAUCUUUCUCUUUCCUUUGUUUUUUUUGGGUUUAUCUCCAUGAGUUGUUUGCGUUUGUUUACUGUUCAUGCUUGUUCAUGCUUCAAUGGUUGUUUUGUGAACUACUUGCAAAUUUUGGCUUCAGAUUCCUUUGAGUCUUGUUUUGUUUGGAACUUUAAUUAUCAACUAUUUUGUAUUAAAGCUUAAGUUGAAUGGAGACAUUAAGUGGGGUUGGGGAUAAUUGUGAUUAAGUGGUAUUGAUUUGCACGUCAUUUAGUAAAUAAAUUAAAUAAUAGACUAUAAGCUUGUAAAUAAAAUCGAAUAUUUAGGCAUGUGUUGAUUUUUAUUAAUUUCGUUUAUUUACUUGCCAAAAAUCAGUAGUAUACUUAGGUUUGCUAACACGGGUAGGCAAGCCUUAGGAUUUUGUUAGUUUCGAGGCGAGAUGUCGUUCCCUUAGUUAAAUUUACCCGGGGAAUGUCCCGAGAGAUUUGUAUAUAUUUUAUUCCGAGGAAUGCCCCGUAGAACUUUGUAAUGAGAAGUCAAAAGUAGAACUUGUAGUGUUUUAUUAUUAUUUUCUAUUUUCUUUUAUUAGGUGGGGACGAUCUCGAGCCUCAUGUGUGUUUAUUUUAUUUUUUCGUGAUUUUACCUCAACUUGAAUAUUUUAGUAGCCAACUUGAUCGAGUUCGCAACCGUACUAGUUAUGGGACUUGGGGAAUGCCUAACACCUUCUCCCCGAGUCAAAUGAACCCCCUUACCCGAUUCUCUGGUGCGGACUUAGUUUUAGAGUCUGAAAUGUUUUAAAAGGAAAAGUCAUUUUAAAAGAAAAUCGGUGACCUGACAUACCGAAAUCAAAGUCAGGUGGUGAUUCUGAGUUAUUUUCCUUUUGAAUACAAAUUUUGUCACUUUCAAAAUUGAAAACCCUUUUCAAGCUUUUCACUAAAUCUUUUUAUUCUUUUUAAGAGGGUUUGGUGAGUUUGAUAAAAAGGGGGUAUGACAAGUGUAAAGGAUGAAGGGUGAUGCCGUGCAAUGUAUUGUGAGUGAUUGAUAAUGCACGAAGGGUGAUGCCAUGCCGUAUUCUGUGAGUGAUAAUGCACGAACACUACUGAAAAAUUGGUCUACGGUAACGCUUGAAAAACCGUUCCCACAGACUGUCAAACCGUUGCCAUAGGGAUAUUGGAACGGUUUACAGACCAUUACAUCAGCCCGCGUGCCCAUAGGUCUAUUGGAACGGUUCUUGCAAUGGUUUGCAUCGCCAUGACUAUAGAUACAUCUAUUUCAACGGUUUUUCCUUCCUCUGUUGGAACGAUUAUUUUUUCCAAUUGGAACGGUUUAAAACCGUUACUAUAUUGUUUAAACAAUGGUUCUUAACUAUUACCAUAUUAUUUAAAGCAACACUUAUGUAAGCUAUUGCUACAGUUACGUUGGAUAUAGCAACGAUUUAUUUAAGCUAUCGUAACAGUUAUAUUUGUAUUUGGAACGGUUUGUAGAUAAUUUUGGAACCGUUUACAGGACCUAUUGCAACGGUUUAUAUUGUCUACUAGAACGCCAUUUAUGUCCUAUUGCAGCGGUUCUGCUAGGCUAUUGUAUCAGUUCAUUUAAAACCAAAAUAUAGCACUUGUUAUAAAUAAAUAUUUAUACACAUAAUAAAUUAAUAACACCAAAAUUCAAAUACAUCAUAAAUGAAACUAUUAAUAAUAUAAAAUUAUCCAUCAAGCAAAUAAUAUCCAUAAAGCAAAUGUUCUACCCUAUGAGUGCAUAAGUUUAGUACAUUUCAAGAGAGUAAAUAAGUUUCAAAAAUGUUGGUAACAAAAGAUUCCUACAACAUUCAUCUAUGACAAUUCAAAAUUCAUCUCAAGUAAGGUCUAGUUCUUCAUCGUCUUCAUCAUCUAUUUCUUGUUCUACUCCAUCUACAAAAGAGAAUAAAUAAAGUUAUUACCCUUCAAGAGAAUCCGGUCUAAGAAUACUCACGAAUGUGGUUCCGAUGCACCACGACAAGCAGCUUUGGGGUGAAGACGUUAACGAAUUCAAACCAGAAAGGUUUAAAGAUGACAUGUACGGUGGAUGCAAACACAAAAUGGGAUUCUUGCCUUUUGGUUUUGGAGGAAGAAUGUGCAUUGUUUACAGUGAUUUUUAUGCCUUUUGGUUUUGUGUUUACUGCUGCUGUUCAAUGGCAUACACUGCAUUUUUACAUGUUUACAGUGAUUUCUUGCUGUUUGGUUCAAAAAACAGCACAAUAUCAACAAGAAGAGAAACAGAAGACAUGCAGCAGACAAAAACAGUACGGAUGGUCGAUUGUUUAGUUGAACAGCAGCUUGUUGUGCAGAGAAAGCUUCUACAGGUGAACGUGCACUGAACCUUAACAUGUCAGGAUCAAGUCACAAAUCUGGGUUCAGACGCUGAAGUCGUGCGAUGACGUUCAUUGUAAUAUUUUGUUCCAUAGCAUCCUUUUGUUCGUUCAACUUUUCAUGCAUUCUUUGUUGCAACAUCUCUUCCAUUUCCUCCAUUUUCUGUUGCAUCCUCUCAUCAGUAGCAUCUAAAGAAGAUCCAAGAUUCCCUUUUUGCCCUUUUAACACAGUCUUGGUAACCCCUCGUCCAUACAAUCUCACGCGACCUGGAUGUUCAGGUCCCAUGACUGAUGCAUAAGCGUCAACUGAAUGACUGCCAUCUUCACUUUCCCGAGUUGAUUGUAUUCUCUCCAUUUCAGCCUACAAACCAAAUGUGAGAGAAUAGAGUUUAAGUAACUAAAAUUAGAAAUUUCUAAUUUUAUAAUCACGACAAACUUUAAAUUAGAAAUUUCGUACAAUUUUACUAAUCGUAUUGUCGUAUGCGCUUUUGUAUACUCGGCUAAGUUUUCUUUUUCUUGUAGCCACAAAGAUGUCCUUACUUGAUAGAGUAUCUGAAGUAUCAGAGAUUUUCUUUUUUUUUUCCUAGCUACAUGAAAUCAGGUAUAACAAUCUUUCCAUAUAAAGUUAGCAACUUCAUAAUUUAAAAAUAAAUAAAUAAGAAAAAUAAAACAUCAAACCUCGCGAAUUAGAGCAAAAGGUGUUCUGCCAGCAGUGUGCGGACACUUCAACUUAUUUCGAUUUUCUGUAUUUGGUUUAGGACAUUUUCUCCAAAUAAACGAGUCAACAUUUGCUUAGCUACUUUUGAAUUCAUAACCCUCGUUACUCUUUUCCUCUUGUUUUCCCUUGUUUCAAAAAGGGACCAUAAAUCUGAACUAGUUUCAGUUCCUUAUUAUCACAUUAAAGCAUAGCCACUACAUUCAAUUUGCCUACUCAGGAAAAGUAAAGCUGUCUUGAACAACAUAAAGAUAGUCGAUUUUCAACCCCCCUAUAUUUCAUUAACUGUACUCUCCCGCCCCCAAAUGUAUUAAAUGAAGCAUGCCCUUUAAACUAAUGCAGAGAGUUGAGCUUUUUUAUCUCUAGUUUACAGAGUGUGAACAAAAGGUAUUCCGAAUGUAAUUACCUUGUGAGGAUCGGAGUUCCAAUAUUUAAGAAAAUCCUUAAAGUGAGAUUUCGAAACAUCUACUGUCCUAUUUUCCAUUCGAAGCUCAUCAUGCGCAUAGGCUGUGAAGUGGUUUGUCUUCAAUUGACUCUUAUACUUUCUCCAAGUACUACAAACUGAUUCAAAAACCCAUUGUUUCGCCUCGUCAGGAAUGUCAUAUUUUUCCUACAAAUUUAGUGCAAUUGGGUUAGUGUAAGAAAUAAGAAAUACCAUCCAUAUUUAUUGGACAUUGAGAACUUCAUACCUUGAUAUAUUUCCACAUAUCAUCUUUCGUGUGUAGUUUCCUCCAAUUAAAUACAUUAAGAGGACAAAAAGUCCCACUCCUUGCCAAUGUGCCGAGGAAGCUACCCAACUCUUUAACAACUUCUUUAGUAGGACCAACGGGUUGAUUAUACUCAUUUAGAAUGAUUAUUUUACGCUCCUUUCUACCAUGAACACUUGGCAUUUGAGUACGACCUCUUUUUCUUUUUGGCGAGGAGGGGCCUGCAAUAGUACAAAGCAAAGAUAAUCAUUAAUCACUAUUUUUAGUUAAUUUUAUGAUUAAAAUUUAUAUAUAUUUGCCUUGUUCCUCAAUUUGUUCAAUUGCUUCAUGAUUGGUAGAAUCAUCAGAUCGUUCAUGUACUCCCUGUGAUGCAGGAGUGAUGGAAUUCAUAUUCGCUUGUUGCACUUGUUCAUGUACUCCUUAUGCUGCUGAAGAGGUGGAAUUCCGUGGCACUUGCUGCACUUGUUCUUGCAAUUGAGAUCCUAAUUCCGAAUGUCGUUAUUCAUUUUCAUUUGACUUUAUAUUCAAGACUCUUUUUGUUGUCAACAACGAAACCUUUUGGUUUCGCAAAGAUGGAGGUAAUCCAACUUCUGAUUGUCAUUCUUCAUUUUCAGUUGACCUUGUAGCUUGAAAGGUUCUUUUUGUUGUCAACAACGAAACCCUUUGAUUUCGCAAUGAUGCAAGUAAUCCCGUUGGAAUGCGGUUGGAGAUUUU